GGGUCAGUAGGUUGGUCGUGCCACCGGUACGUACUGGUCUCACUGACUCCUCCUUCCUGAAGAACCGUAAUGCCAUUAAUUUGGUGUUGCGGGGAAACAGGACUGUUACUUUGAAAAAAUUAGAGUGUUUAAAGCAAGCUAACGCUUGAAUACAUUAGCAUGUAAUAAUGAAAUAGGACGAUCGAUCCUAUUUUGUUGGUUUCUAGGAUUGACGUA
RNAcentral lists this ribosomal RNA (216 nucleotides) under Glomeromycotina sp. RNAcentral describes it as "partial small subunit ribosomal RNA". The stretch from base 54 to 216 matches the Rfam family "Eukaryotic small subunit ribosomal RNA", at positions 700 to 864 of the family's 1831-position model. Lineage: Eukaryota; Fungi; Glomeromycota. The record is from RNAcentral.